Molecule: long non-coding RNA, 536 nt
Organism: Oncorhynchus tshawytscha (Chinook salmon)
Lineage: Eukaryota; Metazoa; Chordata; Actinopteri; Salmoniformes; Salmonidae
Source: Ensembl
ACACGCACAUACAAAGUUCAUUUAGACAGAUAUGACAUCAACAUGUAUACAGUUAGCGCCCCCUAUUGGAAUAUAGUCAUCCAACAGUUCAGUAUACAGUUAGCGCAUUGGAAUAUAAAGUCAUUACAAGUCAUUAUAUGAUAAACAGAGAGGAAGACAGAUUCAUACUGUGUGGUAGUGAUAGAUAUGACAGACAGAGGUAGACAGAUUCAUACUGUGUGCUAGUGAUAGAUAUGACAGACAGAGAGGUAGACAGAUUCAUACUGUGUGGUAGUGAUAGAUAUGACAGACAGAGAGGUAGACAGAUUCAUACCGUGUGGUAGAUAUGACAGACAGAGAGGUAGACAGAUUUAUACCGUGUGGUAGUGAUGGUCAGUAGAGAUCAUAGCCUUCAGAUGGUCAGAGAAGGAAGACAACUGGACAACGCUGAACGAGUGAGAGUCUAGUCCUCUUUUAAAGGAAGACAAGACCUGGAGGAGAGAAUGAGGGAGGGUUUAGGAGGGAGGGUAGAGGGUUAGGAGGGGAAGGGAGGUAGG